AGAGGGUGAUAGAGGACCGCGGCAUCACAAUCCGUGCAUCAAAGAGAUAUGGACUGCUGCAUCACGGUCCAUGCAUCAAAGAUGAUCGAGAGGGAUAGAGAGGGAUAGAGCAGUGAUAGAGGACCACGACAUUAUGGUCCACCUCUCAACAUGGACUGCGACAUCGCAAUCCAUCCACUCUCUCUUCUGAUUGAUCUCGCAGUCCACGGUACACCACAAGAUCAAUCCUAUUAUAGAGAGAUGAUCUCUCUCUGUAACAGCGUGGUCACUAUGAAAUAUUAAUUUGACAUCUCAGUAAAGUUGAUAGUUCAUG
This 313-nucleotide long non-coding RNA is filed under the name Phoenix dactylifera (date palm). Its description in RNAcentral is "long non-coding RNA (PDAC_LNC002494)". Lineage: Eukaryota; Viridiplantae; Streptophyta; Magnoliopsida; Arecales; Arecaceae. The record is from RNAcentral.